GUCGAGCGCUUCCCUUCGGGGAGGAGCGGCGGACGGGUUAGUAACGCGUGGGAAUAUACCCAGUUCUAAGGAAUAGCCAUUGGAAACGAUGAGUAAUACCUUAUACGCCCUUCGGGGGAAAGAUUUAUCGGAAUUGGAUUAGCCCGCGUUAGAUUAGAUAGUUGGUGGGGUAACGGCCUACCAAGUCGACGAUCUAUAGCUGGUUUGAGAGGAUGAUCAGCCACACUGGAACUGAGACACGGUCCAGACUCCUACGGGAGGCAGCAGUGGGGAAUAUUGCACAAUGGGGGAAACCCUGAUGCAGCCAUGCCGCGUGUGUGAAGAAGGCCUUCGGGUUGUAAAGCACUUUCAGUUGUGAGGAAAGGUUGAUGGUUAAUACCCAUCAGCUGUGACGUUAGCAACAGAAGAAGGACCGGCUAACUCCGUGCCAGCAGCCGCGGUAAUACGGAGGGUCCGAGCGUUAAUCGGAAUUACUGGGCGUAAAGCGCACGCAGGCGGUUUGUUAAGCUAGAUGUGAAAGCCCUGGGCUCAACCUGGGAAUUGCAUUUAGAACUGGCAGGCUAGAGUUUUGGAGAGGGGAGUGGAAUUCCAGGUGUAGCGGUGAAAUGCGUAGAUAUCUGG
Molecule: ribosomal RNA, 621 nt
Filed under: uncultured bacterium
Lineage: Bacteria
Description: bacterial SSU rRNA
Rfam family: Bacterial small subunit ribosomal RNA
Source: RNAcentral